GUCCGCGUAGAUUAUUAUAAAAUCAUGAUGCUGUUAACUUCAAAAAGAAUUACGUUCCACGGUCG
Molecule: transfer RNA, 65 nt
Filed under: Grillotia pristiophori
Lineage: Eukaryota; Metazoa; Platyhelminthes; Cestoda; Trypanorhyncha; Lacistorhynchidae
Description: tRNA-Asn
Source: RNAcentral